Non-coding RNA from Lathyrus oleraceus (garden pea), 72 nucleotides. Lineage: Eukaryota; Viridiplantae; Streptophyta; Magnoliopsida; Fabales; Fabaceae. The record is from the annotation of a RefSeq genome assembly.
GGUUCUAUGGUGUAAUGGUUAGCACUUUGGACUUUGAAUCCAAUAACUUGGGUUUGACUCCCGGUAGGAUCU